Molecule: long non-coding RNA, 813 nt
Filed under: Panax ginseng (ginseng)
Lineage: Eukaryota; Viridiplantae; Streptophyta; Magnoliopsida; Apiales; Araliaceae
Description: long non-coding RNA (PGIN_LNC013575)
Source: RNAcentral
CUGAGAAAAGGCCAAGUAGUUACUUAGUAGUGAUGAGGAGGAGGAGGAGGAGGAGGAGGGGAGGUGUAGUAAUAAUGCUUGGGUGGUGGUGGCGGUGGAGACUUGUAUUUGUAUACCGGUGUUGGUGGGGGUGGGGACUUGUACUUGUAAACUGGAGGAGGUGGCGGGGGAGACUUGUAUUUGUAAACUGGUGGUGGUGGAGACUUGUAUUUGUAAACUGGUGUUGGUGGUGGUGGGGACUUGUACUUGUAAACUGGUGGUGGUGGGGACUUGUAUUUAUAAACUGGUGUUGGUGGUGGUGGAGACUUGUACUUGUAGACUGGUGGUGGUGGUGAUUUAUAGUGGUAAUGAGGUGGAUGAGAGUGCACUGAGGGAGGUGGUGGUGGUGACUUGUAAUGGUAAGGAGGGGGAGGGGAGUGCACCGGAGGUGGUGGCGGUGGUGAUUUGUAGUGGUAAUGUGGUGGUAGGGAGUGCACCGGAGGUGGUGGUGGUGGUGACUUGUAGUGAUAUGGUGGUGGUGGUGGGGAGUGCACUGGGGUAGGAGGUGGUGGAGACUUGUAGUGAUAAGGAUGGGGAGGAAAGUGCACAGGAGGUGGCGGUGGUGGUGAUUUGUAAUGAUAAGUUGGUGGUGGGAAGUGCACCGGAGGUGGUGGUGGUGGCGGUGAUUUGUAAUGGUAAAGAGGAGAGGAGAAAUGGUCGGUAGCUGCGGUUUCUAAUGGCAAGUUUAGGGACACUAAUACCACUACAAGAGUGACCAUAAGAGUGUCCAUUUUGGACCCCUUCGCUAUUCUUACCAUCUUUUUUACUACAAAU